This 462-nucleotide long non-coding RNA is filed under the name Phasianus colchicus (ring-necked pheasant). RNAcentral's name for it is "lncRNA (ENSPCLG00000001032.1)". Lineage: Eukaryota; Metazoa; Chordata; Aves; Galliformes; Phasianidae. The record is from RNAcentral.
AUGGGGAUGAGGGAGAGGAUGGGGAUGUGGGAGGGGUGUAAGCAGAGGCCAGGCCCCUGCUCUGUGGGGCUGGGCCUGGUGCCUCACAGGGAUAUGCAGGGGGCUGCUCUUCUGCAGGCUGUCAGUGCUGAGCCAACUACCUCUGGUCUCCCGGAGUUAACUCUUGAGAAGCUGCCACAAGUCCAACGCUUGGCCUUUCUCCCCCGUCUCACCAAACAGACCUUGCCCUGUGACCUGAGGGUUCCCCCAGAGCCCAGCGCUGCACGGCACUGGGACAUCCACCUUCCAGCCCCUUGUGGAAGAGAAAAGAAACUUUCCGUGUCCUCCCAGACUUCAUGCACGCCCCUCAGACCCUCAGACUGCCCACGACCCCCUCGCUCAGCUCAGCGCCCGCUGCCCGCGUUGCUGGUGGGCGGCUGCAGCAUUUCAACCUCCUCCAGCUGGAAAGUGUUGCCAGAGUGA